RNAcentral lists this transfer RNA (87 nucleotides) under Acidobacteriota bacterium. RNAcentral describes it as "Acidobacteria bacterium (groundwater metagenome) tRNA-Arg". Lineage: Bacteria; Pseudomonadati; Acidobacteriota. The record is from RNAcentral.
GGGAGCCGAAAGCCUUAGAUUCUUAAGGUUCCGGCGCUCAGGUUUCUAAUCCGAGGGUUGGGUGUUCGAGUCACCCCGGGCCCGCCA